Molecule: ribosomal RNA, 486 nt
Filed under: uncultured bacterium
Lineage: Bacteria
Description: bacterial SSU rRNA
Rfam family: Bacterial small subunit ribosomal RNA
Source: RNAcentral
GGGAUAACCAAGGGAAACUCUGGCUAAUACCAGAUACGCUCCGAGGAGCUGCGGCUCUUCGGAUGAAAGAUGGCCUCUACAUGUAAGCUGUCGCUCGUUGAUCGGCCUGCGCACCAUUAGCUUGUUGGUGAGGUAACGGCUCACCAAGGCUGAGAUGGUUAGCUGGUCUGAGAGGAUGGCCAGCCACACUGGGACUGAGAUACGGCCCAGACUCCUACGGGAGGCAGCAGUGGGGAAUCUUGCGCAAUGGGGGAAACCCUGACGCAGCGACGCCGCGUGGGUGAUGAAGGCUCUCGGGUCGUAAAGCCCUGUCGGAAGGGAAGAAACGUACCGACCUAAUACGUCGGAUACCUGACGGUACCUUCUAAGGAAGCACCGGCUAACUCCGUGCCAGCAGCCGCGGUAAUACGGAGGGUGCAAGCGUUGUUCGGAAUCACUGGGCGUAAAGGGCGUGUAGGCGGUCUGUUAAGUCUGAUGUGAAAUCCC